This 430-nucleotide ribosomal RNA is filed under the name Bacteroidota bacterium. Its description in RNAcentral is "Bacteroidetes bacterium partial 16S ribosomal RNA". It matches the Rfam family "Bacterial small subunit ribosomal RNA", at positions 355 to 776 of the family's 1533-position model. Lineage: Bacteria; Pseudomonadati; Bacteroidota. The record is from RNAcentral.
UAGGGAAUCUUCCGCAAUGGACGCAAGUCUGACGGAGCAACGCCGCGUGAGUGAAGAAGGAUUUCGGUUCGUAAAACUCUGUUGUUAGAGAAGAACAGCGCAUAGAGUAACUGUUAUGCGUGUGACGGUAUCUAACCAGAAAGCCACGGCUAACUACGUGCCAGCAGCCGCGGUAAUACGUAGGUGGCAAGCGUUGUCCGGAUUUAUUGGGCGUAAAGCGAGCGCAGGCGGUCAAUUAAGUCUGAUGUGAAAGCCCCCGGCUCAACCGGGGAGGGUCAUUGGAAACUGGUUGACUUGAGUGCAGAAGAGGAGAGUGGAAUUCCAUGUGUAGCGGUGAAAUGCGUAGAUAUUAGGAGGAAUACCUGUGGCGAAGGCGACUUACUGGACACAAAUCUGACGCUGAUGUGCGAAAGCGUGGGGAUCAAACAGG